CCUAGCAGCACGGCAGGAUGGGCACAGUUCAGGUAGAGCCAUUAAGAAGCGCGUGAAAAAAUACAGACUGGAGGAACUGAAGAGAGAGCUGGAGGCUUUGGGGGUUAACGUUGAUGGACAUGGACAAAACAUGGAUGAAAAAAAAAAAAAAAAAAAAAAAAAAAAAAGACCAAAAAGGAACUCCAAAACCUCCUAAUAAAGGAGCUGAAGCGGGUCAAAGACGGCAGAACUGGCCUGGGCAAGAGGGCUUGGGAGAGGGCAGAAGGACUAACUCUGCCCAUGGAGAUCCCAGAAGACAUCCUAAAUGUUCUUCAUGACCUUGGAUGUAUUCUUGGACAAAGAGUUGGAAGACUGUGAGAGAAAUGAACAGAGGGAUGACGAUGUGAAAGCUGUGCUCGACAGUCUCCUAGAUAAAGUGGACUCGACUCUGGCUUCAAAAGGACUGAAAGACAGAGUCUUGAGGCCAGAGGUUGGAGACAGGAAAGAGGAGGCCGAGCGGGAGGCCAAUUUCUGGAGUUCCAGAGAGAGGCCAAUUUCUGGAGUUCCAGAGAGAAUCACAAAGGCUCCGUCCCCAGGAGGAGGUUUCCGUGGGCCAGACACAGCAGCAGACGGCUGACUGUAAACAAUUGACAAGGACCAUCAAAAAAAAAAGAUACAAUUUGUAGUGAUCUUAA
Long non-coding RNA from Alosa alosa (allis shad), 674 nucleotides. RefSeq lists it as uncharacterized. The transcript has 2 exons. The record is from RefSeq and is a predicted model, not a curated record. NCBI's taxonomy places the organism in Eukaryota, Metazoa, Chordata, Actinopteri, Clupeiformes, Clupeidae.